GGGGCUGCCCGGUUUCGACAGCAGGUUUGUGGUUGAGUAAGCAUGCCGAGCCUUGCAGAUACGCUCGUAAAUAUCAUCUGCGAACCAAUAACUGGCGAAAAUAACUUCGCUCUUGCUGCCUAAUCUGCGUAUCGCGGAGGUGGCUUAAUCCCGACUCAAGGAGUCGGGACAGGACGUUCUGCCGGCGGAUCUGCCUGAUUCCAACCGGACAACAGGGCGCUCGCAAUUUCGGGCUGGUCAUGGCGAAGCUCCGGCGCUGUGGCGAGAUAAAGGAGAUAAGGGUGGGCCUUGGGUGCCGUUUUCCGAACCCGCCCCGACAAUCAACAAGCGGAUAAGCAUGUAGAAAGCGCCUCUGCUAUCUGUUUGGACGAGGGUUCGACUCCCUCCAGCUCCACUG
This 397-nucleotide transfer-messenger RNA is filed under the name Bacteroidales. RNAcentral describes it as "JAGOPY01 sp017991835 Standard tmRNA". It matches the Rfam family "transfer-messenger RNA". Rfam says of the family: Bacterial tmRNA, also known as 10Sa RNA or SsrA, is named for its dual tRNA and mRNA-like properties. Its role is to liberate the mRNA from a stalled ribosome. The record is from RNAcentral. Lineage: Bacteria; Pseudomonadati; Bacteroidota; Bacteroidia. RNAcentral also lists the same sequence under 1 other name.